This 28-nucleotide non-coding RNA is filed under the name Mus musculus (house mouse). The record is from RNAcentral. Lineage: Eukaryota; Metazoa; Chordata; Mammalia; Rodentia; Muridae.
UGCUUAACCCAGAGGUUGUAUGCAAUGG